ACUGAGGUCCCACUAUAGCGCGCAAAUAUGCAACCAGCCUCCGCGUAUUAAUAUUUAACGAUGAUCCCGCGGAGGAGAGUGGUAGAUGAAGUGGAAGGAGUGCAGGGUAGUUUUAGCUUGUAGGCGCCGUGGAUGGCGAAUCGUGCAUGCUGCUGGCACGAACCAGCAGUAUCUCGAAAAUUUCAACCCCUAGCUCGC
Non-coding RNA from Glossina pallidipes, 198 nucleotides. Lineage: Eukaryota; Metazoa; Arthropoda; Insecta; Diptera; Glossinidae. The record is from Rfam.